UCCCUGGUGGUCCAGUGGUUAGGACUCCGCGUUUCCACUGCAGGGGACCCAGGUUCAAUCCCUGGUCGGGGAA
RNAcentral lists this transfer RNA (73 nucleotides) under Balaenoptera acutorostrata scammoni. RNAcentral describes it as "tRNA-Gly (TCC) (tRNA-Gly-TCC-16-1)". It matches the Rfam family "tRNA". Rfam says of the family: Transfer RNA (tRNA) molecules are approximately 80 nucleotides in length. Their secondary structure includes four short double-helical elements and three loops (D, anti-codon, and T loops). Further hydrogen bonds mediate the characteristic L-shaped molecular structure. tRNAs have two regions of fundamental functional importance: the anti-codon, which is responsible for specific mRNA codon recognition, and the 3' end, to which the tRNAs corresponding amino acid is attached (by aminoacyl-tRNA synthetases). tRNAs cope with the degeneracy of the genetic code in two manners: having more than one tRNA (with a specific anti-codon) for a particular amino acid; and 'wobble' base-pairing, i.e. permitting non-standard base-pairing at the 3rd anti-codon position. Lineage: Eukaryota; Metazoa; Chordata; Mammalia; Artiodactyla; Balaenopteridae. The record is from RNAcentral.